This 253-nucleotide ribosomal RNA is filed under the name uncultured bacterium. RNAcentral describes it as "partial 16S ribosomal RNA". It matches the Rfam family "Bacterial small subunit ribosomal RNA", at positions 524 to 776 of the family's 1533-position model. The record is from RNAcentral.
UACGGAGGAGGCAAGCGUUAUCCGGAAUUAUUGGGCGUAAAGCGUCCGUAGGUGGUUUAGUAAGUCUGCUGUUAAAGCGCGGGGCUUAACUCCGUAUCGGCAGUGGAAACUACUAGACUAGAGUGUGGUAGGGGUAGAGGGAAUUCCCAGUGUAGCGGUGAAAUGCGUAGAUAUUGGGAAGAACACCGGUGGCGAAGGCGCUCUACUGGGCCAUAACUGACACUGAUGGACGAAAGCUAGGGGAGCAAACAGG